Molecule: long non-coding RNA, 344 nt
Organism: Monodelphis domestica (gray short-tailed opossum)
Lineage: Eukaryota; Metazoa; Chordata; Mammalia; Didelphimorphia; Didelphidae
Source: Ensembl
AGAAGUGACAUGAUAAGGAGAAGACUACAUCAGAAACAAAGUGAACUCUCACUGCUGUCCACCCAAUGGACUCUGGAUCCAGAGAAAAAUACAUUACAACUGAGCUCAUGGGGAUCCCAGCUGAAUGCUUCAGCACACAAAAACUCCAAGUUCUUCCUCAGUGGAUCGGCUAGUAUGAUUAUGGAUGAAGUUCCCCAGGGAAUCCAGCAAGAUAGCAAGCUCAGCUUAGAAUCUACCUUCUCUAAAACACCUAAGAGAUACUCCUCAGUGGUUUCUUCCCAGAUGUGUUUGCUACAAAAGAAAGAAAGGGUAAUGUUAAAAUAAUGCAUAUAUAGACCUGAGAA